Molecule: ribosomal RNA, 301 nt
Filed under: uncultured bacterium
Lineage: Bacteria
Description: partial 16S ribosomal RNA
Rfam family: Bacterial small subunit ribosomal RNA
Source: RNAcentral
CAGUCGCCGCGGGAAUACGCAGGUGGCAAGCGUUGUCCGGAAUUAUUGGGCGUAAAGGGCUCGCAGGCGGUUUCUUAAGUCUGAUGUGAAAGCCCCCGGCUCAACCGGGGAGGGUCAUUGGAAACUGGGAAACUUGAGUGCAGAAGAGGAGAGUGGAAUUCCACGUGUAGCGGUGAAAUGCGUAGAGAUGUGGAGGAACACCAGUGGCGAAGGCGACUCUCUGGUCUGUAACUGACGCUGAGGAGCGAAAGCGUGGGGAGCGAACAGGAUUAGAUACCCCCGUAGUCCCUGUCUCUUAUAC